UAAGAAAACUAAAGCGAUUCAUGGCAUAACAUUGCCCGCAAUAAAAUUGUUUCUUUAAAAUUAUAUAUCUUAUCCGAAUGACAAUAUUUUUCACUCCGAUUUUAGAUUCACCUUUAAACGGAAACUCAAGUCGAAAGUAUUUUGAUUAGCGCUCAAGCCAAGCGAAUCGAUGCGCGACUCCAAGUCUAUAUAAAAGUGAUGCACUCGCUUUCUCUCUGGCGAUAAACAUUCGACAGUUGUUCGAGAGCGUCUUUUUUGACAGGAAGUAGCUAAAAAGUCAACUUCUCUGCCAUCUGUAUAGCUGGAGUGAAACUUGGAAGUUAAGUUGCAAAGAAGAAUGAAGAGCCUGAUUGUAUGCUUGCUGUUAGUUGCGAUAGUCGUGGCUCAAGCCGCACCAUUGGAAGAUUUCCAGGAUGUUGAGCCGUUGGAAGUUGAGGCUAUGGAGGUAGCCAAACGGGGCGGACCUUUUCUGGCCACCUGCCUUAAACCAGGAACUAGAAUACAGUGUUUCUGCCUUUAUGAUGACGAAGGGAACAUACGCAGUUGGAUGAAAUGUAACUGAAAACGCAUCAUUCAUGACGAGCCCGGCGCAGCCCACGUUCUGAGGUAGUUUGUUCCCCGUCAAAGUUUAUUACCGAGCACUGGUCUUCUUGUAAGUGCAAAUAGUCAAUAAACUCUCUUAUUAAUAAUUCAAAAAUAUUUUUGUAGGCUAUUCCUUAGUCUGGCUUAUUUAAGUGAAUGUUUAGGAUCUACAUAACAGAUUGGAUUCUUCCGGUGCCCAGUUUUGGGUCUGCAUUUCGCUACUUGAGUGAAAAUUCUUUCUUUUCCGACUUGAAUGAAGAACCAGCACGAGAAAUUUAGAGAUGAAGAAAAACAAAUGGAUGAUAACACCCCGUAUAAAAGUUGCACACCUCUUGCCAAGUUGCGUCAAUGUAUAGAGGAUUUUUAUUCUCAUUAACAUGACUGAGAAAUUUCAUUUUAAAUUGAAAUUUUUGCAAAGUUAGUCGUUUAAAAACUGUUCAUUUUCGUAAACCAAAAUGGCAAAUAGCUUGCUUGAAAAUGGCAUGAUAACUUGUUACUCUAUUUUAAAAGAUUCCAGUUCUGUGAUUCCAGUUCAGUUUUGAUAGUAGUUUACGUAGUUUGGCAAGUAAAAUAAAUACGAAAGGUACACACUUUUCUAAAGGAAAUGGUGACAAAAAAAUCUGCUAUAACAUCCAUUGUAACAUAUUUUCUGGCUCCCUGUCUGUAGAAUUCCAAAAUGGCCACAGUAAUGGUGCUCGUUAUAAAACGACAUGUGCGAAUCAUAACUCUUUUAAAAUGGUUCUUGUGAAAUGGAAUGAAACAAACCCAUAAGUCAAAGUUACUGCUGGAGGUGAAGUCUACUUGAUCACUUUUCUUAUUCAAUGUCGUCAGUUAUAACCUGUAUAAUAGCCUCCCUGGAUAAUAUAAAUGCUAUAAGCCUACACUCCAGUUACGUCGUGCAAGAGGUAACCUUUCAAAAAUAUUUUUGUUUAUUUUUACCAAUUGAAUAAUACGACAACUUCAAGUUAUAUAGCAUAACUCCCCAAAUGAAGUUGCAUAGCAUAAGUGUUAUUCUCUAAUUAAACAGUAUCAAACUUGAUACUCACUGUUCAGUUUA
Molecule: long non-coding RNA, 1639 nt
Organism: Acanthaster planci (crown-of-thorns starfish)
Lineage: Eukaryota; Metazoa; Echinodermata; Asteroidea; Valvatida; Acanthasteridae
Source: RefSeq, a predicted model, not a curated record